UACGUAGGGUGCAAGCGUUGUCCGGAAUUAUUGGGCGUAAAGAGCUCGUAGGCGGUCUGUCGCGUCUGCUGUGAAAACUCGGGGCUUAACCCCGGGCCUGCAGUGGGUACGGGCAGACUAGAGUGCGGUAGGGGAGACUGGAAUUCCUGGUGUAGCGGUGAAAUGCGCAGAUAUCAGGAAGAACACCGGUGGCGAAGGCGGCCUGCUGGGCAGUUUAGCUGACACUGAGGCGCGACAGCGUGGGGAGCAAACAGG
RNAcentral lists this ribosomal RNA (255 nucleotides) under uncultured bacterium. RNAcentral's name for it is "partial 16S ribosomal RNA". It matches the Rfam family "Bacterial small subunit ribosomal RNA", at positions 524 to 776 of the family's 1533-position model. The record is from RNAcentral.